UAAAAAUCAAAUUUUGGCACAGUUAGAUCGUGGCUAACAAUUUACUUUCCCUCUUCACACUUUCAGUGAGCCACCUAUUUUUUUUCCCAUUCCCUCUAUUUUUUUAUUCCCUUUUGUUUAUGUUUUCCAUUCCCUUUCACCUUUUUCCAAUCCUUUUUUUAUUUCACGUUUCAUUUAUCUUCUCUUAUCUUCUCUGCUCACCUUCAAUUCCCUUUCUCUUAUAUGUUCUUCUUUGCUCACCGUCAAUUCCUUUUUCCACGAUACACAAAUAUGUGAAAUUGCCACCAGAAAGAAUGUCACCGGACACUGGACCAGUAAAGUAUCACGCAACCCAGUCACCAACACCAGACAUCUCACGACCCAGCCACAAGCACUCACGACUAAGUCACCGGCAAUAACGCCACGCGACCCAGCCAUCGUCAAGAACUCACGAGCUCCUCUCUUUCGUUCUCUCUGGGAUAAAGUUCAACAUGCUAGAGACAAUGGGGUGGUUCUUUACAAUGUGACACUCAAGUGUUAAGAAAAUGUAAGGAUUUUGAAGGAGCACAUAAGGUGUUUGAUGAAAUGCUUCAAAGAGGGGUAAAACCAAAUAACAUUAUAUUAAUUACUAUAUGAUUAACUGUGUUAGAAUGAUUGUUUUACCUGAUGAGACUAUUGAGCGGUUUGAGAAAAUGUCGGGUUUUGGGUGUGAACCCGAUGCUAUCACUUGAUCGGCUAUGGUGGUGCUUUUGCGCGUACUAAUCAUGUUGAUAUGGCUCGGCGUUUAUAUGAUCGUGCAAAAAUGGAAAAAUAGAUAAUAACUAAGGACCAAGGAACUAGGAAACAAACAUUAGACCUGCCCACAAAUUAAUCUGUUAAGAUAAUUUAAAAUUUAUUUCAAUUAUUUAUCUUUUUGUUAAGUUC
Molecule: long non-coding RNA, 903 nt
Organism: Cicer arietinum (chickpea)
Lineage: Eukaryota; Viridiplantae; Streptophyta; Magnoliopsida; Fabales; Fabaceae
Source: RefSeq, a predicted model, not a curated record